AAGCUCACAGACUGAAAAGCAAAGAAAAAAUAGAAGAAGGAAGAAUAAAAUGUCCACUUUGGAUGUCCUAGCUGGUACAAAAUGUCCUGUCUCCUUGAGCAGCCCUUCAUCCCUCACAAAUAAAGAUGAGCAGCAAAGAGAUGGAAAAGGGAUGGAUAACAUUGGAACAGUGAUUUCUGCAAGCAGCACCUAGAAGAGAGAGCUGCUGGCUUUCACAUCAUUAAUGAGGAAGUACUUUCUCCCAGCUUUUUAUUCUUUUACUCCGUCUCUUCUAAGCCAAUGCUUGCUUCCCAAGAACUAGCACGGCCUGAUCCUUACACAGACAAUUAUGACACAGAGAGAGGUUUCAGUCCCCGCAGUGCCAUCUACUGCUGAGAUAAGUUUGAAUGCUGGAUUUAUUAUUUCUUUGGGGGAAAAUUCUCAGGGACCAGCAUCUGCAGGUGGAACACAAGCUCAGGGGGAAAAAAUAAAUGGCUGCAAAAGCCCAGCAAUCUGGCUAAAGUCUCUCUACCCAUACAUAGCUGACACCAAAAGGAAAAAAAUAAAUCCUAAACUAGGAUCCAUCAUUUGUAAUCUUACAUUACUGAAACCAAAUCUUUCUUUGAUCACUCCUCAUUCACUCAAGACAAUUCAUUAUUCAGCCAGUGGGAAUUGUCUCAGCUCCAGUGAAAGCCAGGGAGUUAUACCAGCUGCUAUCCGCUGA
RNAcentral lists this long non-coding RNA (703 nucleotides) under Cyanistes caeruleus (blue tit). RNAcentral describes it as "lncRNA (ENSCCEG00000021319.1)". Lineage: Eukaryota; Metazoa; Chordata; Aves; Passeriformes; Paridae. The record is from RNAcentral.